GAUGCAGAGAGGCUGAGCUGCAGAACCCAUUCAGCCUCGGCAGAAGAAAUAUUUCCAAAAUCUUCAUCAACUACACCUGUGCAAAGCCACAAAAGGGACAAAGGCUUCAACACAAGGAGGCACUAAAACACUGCAGUUCUUCACCAUCAGUCUAAAAGACGCUUAGUUUCUGAUUUUCCAGAAAGACAUACUGCAUAAGUUAACAUAAACAAAAGGAUUACAUGGAGAAGAGGACCUAUAAAGCAGAAUGUGUUCAUACUGUCUGUGUCAACAUUUACUCUGCCAAACUGAAGGGACACUUGGCUAUGAC
Cygnus olor (mute swan) is the source of this 310-nucleotide long non-coding RNA. RefSeq lists it as uncharacterized. NCBI's taxonomy places the organism in Eukaryota, Metazoa, Chordata, Aves, Anseriformes, Anatidae. The record is from RefSeq and is a predicted model, not a curated record. The transcript has 3 exons.